CCUACGGGAGGCAGCAGUGAGGAAUAUUGGUCAAUGGGAGAGAUCCUGAACCAGCCAAGCCGCGUGAGGGAGACGGCCCUAUGGGGUUUAAACCUCUUUUGUUCGGGGACCAAAACCGGGGCGUGUUCCCGAACGCGUGUAACCGAAGAAAAAGCAUCGGCUAACUCCGUGCCAGCAGCCGCGGUAAUACGGGGGAUGCGAGCGUUAUCCGGAUUUAUUGGGUUUAAAGGGUGCGUAGGCGGUCCGGUAAGUCAGCGGUAAAAUUGCGGGGCUCAACCCCGUCGAGCCGUUGAAACUGGCAGACUUGAGUUGGCGAGAAGUACGCGGAAUGCGCGGUGUAGCGGUGAAAUGCAUAGAUAUCGCGCAGAACUCCGAUUGCGAAGGCAGCGUACCGGCGCCAGACUGACGCUGAGGCACGAAAGCGUGGGGAUCGAACAGGAUUAGAUACCCUAGUAGUC
This 458-nucleotide ribosomal RNA is filed under the name uncultured bacterium. RNAcentral describes it as "partial 16S ribosomal RNA". It matches the Rfam family "Bacterial small subunit ribosomal RNA", at positions 338 to 795 of the family's 1533-position model. The record is from RNAcentral.